This 480-nucleotide ribosomal RNA is filed under the name Triticum aestivum (bread wheat). RNAcentral's name for it is "partial small subunit ribosomal RNA". The record is from RNAcentral. Lineage: Eukaryota; Viridiplantae; Streptophyta; Magnoliopsida; Poales; Poaceae.
AAUAGGGCUCCUGGGUUGGAUAGCAUUCCAGCCGAGUUUUACCAACAUUGUUGGGAGAUAGUGAAGAAUGACAUUAUGGGUCUGUUUCAUGCUUUCCAUGAAGGGAGUUUGGAUGUAUAUAGGCUGAACUACGGCAUUAUUACUCUCCCUAAGAUCUCUGGAGCAGAUAAGAUUCAACAAUUCAGACCAAUAUGUCUGUUGAGAUGUCCUAAACUGAUUACAGAAGUUUUAGAUAAUAGAGUGGCCCUUUUUGCUGAUGUUCUUUUUAGCAAACAUCAAAAUGCCUUUAUCAAAAACAGGAAUAUCAUGGAUGGGGUUUUAUCUUUGCACGAAGUUCUUCAUCAUACCUAUGUUAAGAAAAAGUGUGGUAUUGUCAUUAAACUCGACUUCGAGAAAGCGUAUGACAAGGUUAACUGGGACUUCCUGUUGAAGUGCCUUGAUAAUAGAGGUUUUGGGAAAACUUGGUGUGAGUGGAUGUGA